This 274-nucleotide ribosomal RNA is filed under the name uncultured bacterium. RNAcentral describes it as "partial 16S ribosomal RNA". It matches the Rfam family "Bacterial small subunit ribosomal RNA", at positions 523 to 796 of the family's 1533-position model. The record is from RNAcentral.
AGACGGAGGUGGCAAACGUUGCUCGGAAUCACUGGGCUUAAAGGGCGUGUAGGCGGUCUUCCAAGUCGGGUGUGAAAGCCCUCGGCUCAACCGAGGAAUUGCAUCCGAUACUGGUCGACUAGAGUGCGGCAGGGGUAAGUGGAACUCCAGGUGUAGCGGUGAAAUGCGUAGAUAUCUGGAGGAACGCCAAUGGCGAAAGCAACUUGCUGGGUCGCAACUGACGCUGAGGCGCGAAAGCUAGGGGAGCGAACGGGAUUAGAUACCCCAGUAGUCC